This 747-nucleotide long non-coding RNA is filed under the name Marmota monax (woodchuck). The record is from RNAcentral. Lineage: Eukaryota; Metazoa; Chordata; Mammalia; Rodentia; Sciuridae.
AUCUAAAUUGCAUUUGUCUUUAAAGUAGUUAAACUACAUAAAAGAAUCACAAAAAUGUUUGUCAUUUGUAAAUAUAGUUUAAAAUACAGGAUUAAACCAACAUUAUUCAGUUAAAUUCAUCUUGCUUUUUUUGUUUUAUCUAUAGAAGAUUGCAAAAAAAAAUGUUUUGCACAUACGUGUUCCCUUAAGUUUUAAAAAGGCACCUAGUUUGAGUAUCAAAUAUUCUCCUUCAUUUCUGUAUGUAUCUUACCUCCCACUGCCCCCUCCCACACACAAACACUGAAGGAAUUGCAUAGAAUACUAGGCUGUCUCAUUGAACAGGGCAACAGUCUGUCUUUUCCUGAUAACAGGGUAGUUAUUAUUCUUGACUCAGUCAACCCCAGAGGGAGAGCGUUAGUGACCUGGAGUGGGGUUUGCUAAAUCUAAGGCUACUCAAGGAGAACGUUUGCUGCUGUGCUGGACAUUGCAGUUCUCCAGAGCAGGCUGUUAGCAUCCUGCCUUGCUCUGAGUAGGUGCAGAAGACUCAGUGGAGUGAGAUCAUGUAUCAGCCUCUAUGAGCAAAUCCUCCCUUCCGCCCCUAACUUUCCCAUGGCACAAAGGAACCAGUGUCUGGAGGCUAGGUUGCAAUGAUUAUCCAAAGGGCAAUCUCUGCAGGCACCCAAGAGUGAAAGGUGCUGCCAGUUUCUGUUGGAUUUGUUAUUCCCAUAGAGUCGCACAGGAAAUAACACCACAAAAAAAAAAAAAGAA